This 265-nucleotide ribosomal RNA is filed under the name uncultured prokaryote. RNAcentral describes it as "partial 16S ribosomal RNA". It matches the Rfam family "Bacterial small subunit ribosomal RNA", at positions 524 to 788 of the family's 1533-position model. The record is from RNAcentral.
UACGUAGGUGGCAAGCGUUAUCCGGAACUAUUGGGCGUAAAGAGCGCGCAGGUGGUUGAUUAAGUCUGAUGUGAAAGCCCACGGCUUAACCGUGGAGGGUCAUUGGAAACUGGUCGACUUGAGUGCAGAAGAGGGAAGUGGAAUUCCAUGUGUAGCGGUGAAAUGCGUAGAGAUAUGGAGGAACACCAGUGGCGAAGGCGGCUUCCUGGUCUGUAACUGACACCGAGGCGCGAAAGCGUGGGGAGCAAACAGGAUUAGAUACCCU